CCUACGGGUGGCAGCAGUGAGGAAUAUUGGUCAAUGGACGCAAGUCUGAACCAGCCAUGCCGCGUGCAGGAAGACGGCUCUAUGAGUUGUAAACUGCUUUUGUACGAGGACAAACGCAGAUACGCGUAUCUGUCUGAAUGUAUCGUACGAAUAAGGAUCGGCUAACUCCGUGCCAGCAGCCGCGGUAAUACGGAGGAUUCAAGCGUUAUCCGGAUUUAUUGGGUUUAAAGGGUGCGUAGGCGGUCGGAUAAGUUAGAGGUGAAAUCCCGAGGCUCAACUUCGGGAUUGCCUCUGAAACUGUUCGGCUAGAGAGGGAUAGCAGUAGGCGGAAUGUGUGGUGUAGCGGUGAAAUGCUUAGAGAUCGUACAGAACACCGAUUGCGAAGGCAGCUUACCAGGCUACUUCUGACGUUGAGGCACGAAAGCGUGGGGAGCGAACAGGAUUAGAUACCCGAGUAGUC
RNAcentral lists this ribosomal RNA (460 nucleotides) under uncultured bacterium. RNAcentral describes it as "partial 16S ribosomal RNA". It matches the Rfam family "Bacterial small subunit ribosomal RNA", at positions 338 to 795 of the family's 1533-position model. The record is from RNAcentral.